Molecule: unclassified non-coding RNA, 685 nt
Filed under: Hevea brasiliensis (rubber tree)
Lineage: Eukaryota; Viridiplantae; Streptophyta; Magnoliopsida; Malpighiales; Euphorbiaceae
Source: RNAcentral
UCAAGAGUCAUAUACAGAUGGCAACAAGCCAUAGCUCCAAAUAUGGCUUUAGUCAAGAAGAUGCUAGUGUUCGUGAACUUUGCAUACACUAUUUUGGUUCUAAAUUACUCAUGUGUUGGUUUCAUGGUAUUAAGCUUGCAUGAAACAAUUGCUGCAUAUGGUAGUGUAUAUUACAUUGGCACCAUUCUGCCCAUAAUAUUGAUCCUCCUUGGCUACAUAAUUAAACCAUCAAGGCCUGCGAGGUCUAAAGCUCGGAAGGACCAGUGAGGUAGAAACCGCUGCUUCUCCUGCUUCAAGUGCUUGAUAUGAGAUAAGAAGAAUGACAGAUGACAAGCAAUUUCAUCAGCGGUUAAUUUGUAACAUUUUAUUUUUAUCCCAGAAAUUUUUACUACUGCCAAAUUUUAAUGUCAACUUUUUCCCAUUUUCAAUUAGCAAUCGUUUUGAGUUUGUUCACAAUCAUAGUGUAGGCAGAGGAUGAUCAUAAAUAUAUUUGUACGAGAAGAGUUUGCGCACACCCCUAAAAUGGGAAACACUGCUCUUAGCCUGGGAGAAUGCCUCGCAGACAGUCCAGGCCUCACGAUGAGAUAGAUUUUGUAGAGAAAUCUCAGCAAUUUUUUUUUUUUUCUUUUCUAUCAAAAUAUCGAAUUUGGCCAGAAAUAAGUUGAUUAUGACAGGGGAAACAUAU